GCUUUCGUGGUGUAACGGUAGCGCACUCGGCAUGUAUUCCAGAGGUCCAGGUUCGAGUCCGGCGAGGGCA
This 70-nucleotide transfer RNA is filed under the name Stegodyphus mimosarum. It matches the Rfam family "tRNA". Rfam says of the family: Transfer RNA (tRNA) molecules are approximately 80 nucleotides in length. The record is from Rfam by way of RNAcentral. Lineage: Eukaryota; Metazoa; Arthropoda; Arachnida; Araneae; Eresidae.